AUCUAGAUCCUCAACCAGGUCGGGCCAUAACUCAAUCACCAGACCCGACUCGAUGAGGUUUCGCACUUCUCCAAAUGUUAGUUAGGGCACCCAGCGGCAGCACACAAGGCUACACAGUCACGCACCCUCUUCUCUAGCACGUAAUGAGGCACAACCCUGACCUGAACCCCCUCUUCUCUCAGCACGCAGCCACACACCCUCAGCCCCCACCUCACGCACGACGCCACCGUUUCCCUCUCAGCCCUCUCUCUCUCUCCCUGUCUCUCACCAUCCACCAUCACUACUCACCAGCCUCAAUGGCGAUGACACCAGUGGCUGCAAAGUGCGACGGCGCUUCUCUGCUCCCUGCCACCAUCACUCCAUCAGUCAGCCGCCACCUCUGCUCUACUGCCUGCAGUCGUCUUCUUCUUCUUUGCCCCUGGUCGUCUUCUUCUCUUCUCUGACCUCUGUUCUCAAGCUCAGUUUGAUGAUAGUAUAAGUGACAACAUUAGUGAGACUGAAGGUGGAAUUGGUGGACAUGUUCUUUGUGCAAUUGAUAUGUCAAGUCUAAGGUGUUUGUAUUUUUCAUUUUUUUUAAUUUCAAUGUGUAAAGAGCAACUAAGAUGUGUAAUGUAUAAUGAUUUUAUAGAAGCAUGAUUAUAUUUGGACAGCCAUAUUGAAAUAUCUCUAAAGAAAUGAGUGAAUACUUAUUUUUACAUAA
Molecule: long non-coding RNA, 700 nt
Organism: Arachis ipaensis
Lineage: Eukaryota; Viridiplantae; Streptophyta; Magnoliopsida; Fabales; Fabaceae
Source: RefSeq, a predicted model, not a curated record